AACGAACGCUGGCGGCAUGCCUAACACAUGCAAGUCGAACGAGACCUUCGGGUCUAGUGGCGCACGGGUGCGUAACGCGUGGGAACCUGCCCUUAGGUUCGGAAUAACUCCCCGAAAGGGGUGCUAAUACCGGAUAAUGUCUUCGGACCAAAGAUUUAUCGCCUUUGGAUGGGCCCGCGUUGGAUUAGCUAGUUGGUAGGGUAAAAGCCUACCAAGGCGACGAUCCAUAGCUGGUCUGAGAGGAUGAUCAGCCACACUGGGACUGAGACACGGCCCAGACUCCUACGGGAGGCAGCAGUGGGGAAUAUUGGACGAUGGGCGAAAGCCUGAGCCAGCAAUGCCGCGUGAGUGAUGAAGGCCUUAGGGUUGUAAAGCUCUUUUACCCGGGAUGAUAAUGACAGUACCGGGAGAAUAAGCUCCGGCUAACUCCGUG
Molecule: ribosomal RNA, 433 nt
Filed under: uncultured bacterium
Lineage: Bacteria
Description: partial 16S ribosomal RNA
Rfam family: Bacterial small subunit ribosomal RNA
Source: RNAcentral